UUGAUUUCAUCAGAUUUGAUGGUUUACUUCCGAAAUUCUCUGUUGUCAGGUUCUGUUCAAAGUCCGGUGGUGAUUUGAGAGGAAUGGAUGACAGGAUGGUCUCCUUCCUCGAUAACCUGCAGAAUCCGGACAACAUCUCUUACCUCUCACAUAGAGAGGCUUCUGAGACUGACAAGAUACUCAUGGGCCCUCUCAACUUCAGUGUUGAUCAACAGAUGGAGCUAAUAGGCUUGAAUGUCACAAUGUCAAUAGUAGAGGUCAAGUCUAUUUACAUAUUAUCUGAUUAGUUACUUGCUGUGAUAUUUCUGAGCACUUAUUUGUUA
Molecule: long non-coding RNA, 323 nt
Organism: Magnolia sinica
Lineage: Eukaryota; Viridiplantae; Streptophyta; Magnoliopsida; Magnoliales; Magnoliaceae
Exons: 2
Source: RefSeq, a predicted model, not a curated record